This 1003-nucleotide long non-coding RNA is filed under the name Musa acuminata (dwarf banana). Its description in RNAcentral is "long non-coding RNA (MACU_LNC008784)". Lineage: Eukaryota; Viridiplantae; Streptophyta; Magnoliopsida; Zingiberales; Musaceae. The record is from RNAcentral.
GGGUCGGCUUGGUAAGCUAUUCCAGUAUGGUUAUUGCCCCUUUAAGUAGUUGUCCUGUCCUGCCCGCGGUAGUCAAUUCUCUCCUACUUCUCCCCUGCCCGCGGUAGUCAAUUCCCUCCUACUUCUCUUGCUUCUCUUGUAACACCAUCUUGAGAGUUAUAGGCUUUCUUUCACACCAGAUUUAGAUUAGUUGGCUUUCACACCAGAUAGAGAGUGACUUGGCCCGAGUGUCUUGUCUAGUAGUUCCUUGGCCCAGAUUUCUGCCUCUGUUCAACUCCUCUGAUAGCUCAUCCUAUGAUAUGAGUUUCACAAGUGGUUUACCAAAUUCUAUAAGUAAGUUUACGCUAAUAAGAUUAUUCCCAACCCAACACUUCGGUAGAGCAGAAUCAGAAUAAGGAGAAAAAGCCAGAGAAAAAGCUGGUCUAUAGCUUAGAACACCCACAGCAGCACAAGCACCGAACCUAGACCAAACAAAAGCGGAAAAGAGAAAGAGCGCGCGCCCCACACCCCGUAAGUCCUGUGCUGUCUUGUUUGACUUUGUUCGACAUAAUGAAUUGCAGAAUGGAAUUGGGAAUGCGAAGGCGAAGUGUUGUCUAGAAUCGAAGUGGGGUGUAAUCCUAGUGUGAGUGUAGCUCCGUAAGCGCCGAGUCAAACUCAAACAGUCAAAUCAUCUUUCGAGCACAUGUCAUAUAACAGAGGAAUCUUACCAGAGAGAGCAAUCUUACCAAUAAUCAUUCUAUACCUUCUUACCGGAGAGAGCAAUCUUACCAAUAAUCAUUCUAUACCUUAUUGCAUCUUUUACUUGCGUUGCGGGCUUGCGAGUCUAGCAUUAAUGAGCGGGCAUGAGACCACCCUUACUUUAGUUUCAACUUCACCUCUAUGUGGGCAUUCAAAAAGAUCUGAUAUAUACGACAACACUCGAACAAACAUCGGAUUCUGAAUUCUUUGCUUCUUAUUCAACUUCAUUUCUAUAAGUAAGGAUACAACUUAUGAACAAUUCCUA